AUUGAACGCUGGCGGCAGGCUUAACACAUGCAAGUCGAGCGAGCGGCGGACGGGUGAGUAAUGUCUGGGGAACUGCCCGAUGGAGGGGGAUAACUACUGGAAACGGUAGCUAAUACCGCAUACCAUCAGAUGUGCCCAUAUGGGAUUAGCUAGUAGGUGGGGUAAAGGCUCACCUAGGCGACGAUCCCUAGCUGGUCAGAGAGGAUGACCAGCCACACUGGAACUGAGACACGGUCCAGAUUCCUACGGGAGGCAGCAGUGGGGAAUAUUGCACAAUGGGCGCAAGCCUGAUGCAGCCAUGCCGCGUGUGUGAAGAAGGCCUUCGGGUUGUAAAGCACUUUCAGCGAGGAGGCGUUACUCGCAGAAGAAGCACCGGCUAACUCCGUGCCAGCAGCCGCGGUAAUUC
RNAcentral lists this ribosomal RNA (406 nucleotides) under uncultured bacterium. Its description in RNAcentral is "partial 16S ribosomal RNA". It matches the Rfam family "Bacterial small subunit ribosomal RNA", at positions 30 to 526 of the family's 1533-position model. The record is from RNAcentral.